Molecule: ribosomal RNA, 325 nt
Filed under: uncultured eukaryote
Lineage: Eukaryota
Description: SSU rRNA
Rfam family: Eukaryotic small subunit ribosomal RNA
Source: RNAcentral
AUUCUAAAGCUAAUACAUGCAUCAAACCCCAACUUCUGGAAGGGGUGUACUUAUUAAAUGGAAACCAAUGCGGGGCAACCCGGAUCAUGGUGAUUCAUAAUAAUUUUCGGAUCGAUCGCAAAAUCGAUGCAUCAUUCAAGUUUCUGCCCUAUCACCUUUGGAUGGUAGGGUAUUGCCCUACCAUGGCAUUAACGGGUAACGGAAAAUUAGGGUUCGAUUCCGGAGAGGGAGCCUGAAAAAUGGCUACCACAUCUAAGGAAGGCAGCAGGCGCGUAAAUUACCCAAUCCUGACACAGGGAGGUAGUGACAAUAAAUAACAAUGCCG